RNAcentral lists this ribosomal RNA (486 nucleotides) under uncultured bacterium. Its description in RNAcentral is "partial 16S ribosomal RNA". It matches the Rfam family "Bacterial small subunit ribosomal RNA", at positions 30 to 507 of the family's 1533-position model. The record is from RNAcentral.
AUUGAACGCUGGCGGUAUGCCUUACACAUGCAAGUCGAACGGCAGCACGGGUGCUUGCACCUGGUGGCGAGUGGCGAACGGGUGAGUAAUACAUCGGAACAUGUCCUGUAGUGGGGGUUAGCCCGGCGAAAGCCGGAUUAAUACCGCAUACGAUCUACGGAUGAAAGCGGGGGACCUUCGGGCCUCGCGCUAUAGGGUUGGCCGAUGGCUGAUUAGCUAGUUGGUGGGGUAAAGGCCUACCAAGGCGACGAUCAGUAGCUGGUCUGAGAGGACGACCAGCCACACUGGGACUGAGACACGGCCCAGACUCCUACGGGAGGCAGCAGUGGGGAAUUUUGGACAAUGGGCGAAAGCCUGAUCCAGCAAUGCCGCGUGUGUGAAGAAGGCCUUCGGGUUGUAAAGCACUUUUGUCCGGAAAGAAAUCCUUUGCCCUAAUACGGUCGGGGGAUGACGGUACCGGAAGAAUAAGCACCGGCUAACUACGUG